GGCAAACUUUUUACAUACUUGAGCUUAU
Molecule: non-coding RNA, 28 nt
Filed under: Mus musculus (house mouse)
Lineage: Eukaryota; Metazoa; Chordata; Mammalia; Rodentia; Muridae
Source: RNAcentral